Non-coding RNA from Triticum aestivum (bread wheat), 125 nucleotides. Lineage: Eukaryota; Viridiplantae; Streptophyta; Magnoliopsida; Poales; Poaceae. The record is from Rfam.
AUAAUACUCCCUCCGUCCCAAAAAACUUGUCGAAGAAAUAGAUAAAAUUGGAUGUAUCUAUAACUAAAAUACAUCUAGAUUCAUCCAUUCCUUCGACAAGUAUUUUCGGACGGAGGGAGUACUUA